AGCUAAAGUGUGUUAUGAUUCAGGGUUAUGGAUGUUUUGCACUGUUUUUGUCUGCCACACCAGAGGGUGGCGUAGUUUGUGUCCUGUGUUAUUGAUGUUAUGUGAGUUCCUGGUGGAGGCUGACCAUUGGUGGAGGACUGGGAGAUGCCGGCUAUAAAUGAGGACCCUUCUGAACCGGCACGCCCCCUGCCUACUUCCUGUUCCCAACAUACUUCCUGUUCCCAACGAACUGUGCAUGUGGCUGCGUAUGAAUCUGUAUGAGUAUGAAUUCUGGAAUGCGAAGCUUUUGCUGUGUUGUAAAUAGUUUUGUUGUGAGAAGCCAUUUUCUUUUGGAGCCUUUUCUCCUGCUUUUGGUUAGGGAGGCAGGUAAGAAACCUGUAUUUUCUUUUGGGGGUUUUGUUUGUUGUUUUGGCCAUGCUCACCCUGACGCCCGCUACCUUUUGGGACUUAAUAAACUGACUGGAUAUUGUAAAUCUGUGGCAGUUUUUGGUUCGUCUUCCUUGAGAGCAGGGAGUGUGGGGGCAUUUUCCUUUUUUUUUUUGUUGAGUAUUGCAGCAUCGACAGCGAUCAACUCGAAGGGAAAUGAUGACGGAGGCAAAAAUGUCCUUAAUAUUUUAUGAACUUUAUUCCUCUUCAACACACGGCAAAAACUUUUUUUUCAUAGGUGCCGUAUCUAUUUCUCUUCUUCUUCUGUUUUAGGAACGUACAAUGAAACAGUGCCUCCUUGUGGUGAGCACUAAAACACUGUCUCUGUUAAACCACAGUAACCAUAAUGCAGUUAAACACUGUACAACAUGAGUACACACAAUGAAUAUCUUAACACCCCCUCUUGUACUCAGGUUGCUGGAAUCAAAGAAAAGUUGUACAAUAAACGAUAAACAGUCGUACAAUCUCUACCACACUUCCUUUUUUUUUUUUCUCUCUCUCUUUUUUCUUUUAAGCACCAAACAUAACGUUAGCAAACUUAGCAAGUUUUAGCUUAGAAACAGGUUUGGUCAUAACAUCUGCAACCAUUUCUUCAGUGGUGCAAUAUAACAGACACAUUUUUCCUUCAUUUACAAUGGACCUUACAAAAUGAUAUUUAAUGUCCACAUGUUUGCACCUCUGUCGGCUCACAGGGUUUUUAGCCAGGGCAAUUGUUCCCUGGUUGUCCUCGUACACUAUUGUUUGAGUGUAGCUGUAGUCAUCUAUACCUUUCAAAAGCUGUUCUAAAUAUAUACACUCUUGCAUUGUGGAAGCCAGAGC
This is a long non-coding RNA of Astatotilapia calliptera (eastern happy), 1245 nucleotides long. Lineage: Eukaryota; Metazoa; Chordata; Actinopteri; Cichliformes; Cichlidae. The record is from Ensembl.